UCCAGAGAUGGAUUUGUGCCUUCGGGAACUGUGAGACAGGUGCUGCAUGGCUGUCGUCAGCUCGUGUUGUGAAAUGUUGGGUUAAGUCCCGCAACGAGCGCAACCCUUAUCCUUUGUUGCCAGCGGUUAGGCCGGGAACUCAAAGGAGACUGCCAGUGAUAAACUGGAGGAAGGUGGGGAUGACGUCAAGUCAUCAUGGCCCUUACGACCAGGGCUACACACGUGCUACAAUGGCGCAUACAAAGAGAAGCGACCUCGCGAGAGCAAGCGGACCUCAUAAAGUGCGUCGUAGUCCGGAUUGGAGUCUGCAACUCGACUCCAUGAAGUCGGAAUCGCUAGUAAUCGUGGAUCAGAAUGCCACGGUGAAUACGUUCCCGGGCCUUGUACACACCGCCCGUCACACCAUGGGAGUGGGUUGCAAAAGAAGUAGGUAGCUUAACCUUCGGGAGGGCGCUUACCACUUUGUGAUUCAUGACUGGGGUGAAGUCGUAACAAGGUAACCGUAGGGGAACCUGCGGUUGGAUCACCUCCUUACCUUAAAGAA
RNAcentral lists this ribosomal RNA (544 nucleotides) under Salmonella enterica subsp. enterica serovar Infantis. RNAcentral's name for it is "bacterial SSU rRNA". It matches the Rfam family "Bacterial small subunit ribosomal RNA", at positions 999 to 1533 of the family's 1533-position model. Lineage: Bacteria; Pseudomonadati; Pseudomonadota; Gammaproteobacteria; Enterobacterales; Enterobacteriaceae. The record is from RNAcentral.